Molecule: ribosomal RNA, 425 nt
Filed under: uncultured bacterium
Lineage: Bacteria
Description: bacterial SSU rRNA
Rfam family: Bacterial small subunit ribosomal RNA
Source: RNAcentral
GUGGGGAAUAUUGGACAAUGGGGGAAACCCUGAUCCAGCAAUGCCGCGUGAGUGAUGAAGGCCUUCGGGUUGUAAAGCUCUUUUAUCAGGGAAGAUAAUGACGGUACCUGAUGAAUAAGCUCCGGCUAACUUCGUGCCAGCAGCCGCGGUAAUACGAAGGGAGCUAGCGUUGUUCGGAAUUACUGGGCGUAAAGGGCGCGUAGGCGGCCUUGUAAGUUAGAUGCGAAAGCCCCGGGCUUAACCUGGGAACUGCAUUUAAGACUGCAAAGCUAGAGGACGAGAGAGGAAAGUGGAAUUAUGAGUGUAGAGGUGAAAUUCGUAGAUAUUCAUAAGAACACCAGUGGCGAAGGCGACUUUCUGGCUCGUAUCUGACGCUAAGGCGCGAAAGCGUGGGGAGCAAACAGGAUUAGAUACCCCAGUAGUCC